Molecule: small RNA, 30 nt
Filed under: Bombyx mori (domestic silkworm)
Lineage: Eukaryota; Metazoa; Arthropoda; Insecta; Lepidoptera; Bombycidae
Description: ovarian small RNA-4212
Source: RNAcentral
AACACAAGUCUACCCGUCCGCCAGAGCGAC